This 466-nucleotide ribosomal RNA is filed under the name Pentidotea stenops. Its description in RNAcentral is "partial 12S ribosomal RNA". Lineage: Eukaryota; Metazoa; Arthropoda; Malacostraca; Isopoda; Idoteidae. The record is from RNAcentral.
CGCCAUCAGCGCGUAUACAACACUGACGACAUGGUUCUACAGAAACCAGGAUUAGAUACCCCACUAUUCUUUCACUCUUAAACCUUGGGUAGUAACUAGAUAUUUUCUUCAAACCCAAAGGAUUUGGCGGUGUUUAAUCUAAUCAGAGGAACCUGUCUGGUAAUCGUCGCCACCCGUUAGAUCUCACCUUCCCUCAGCACUCAUAUACCGUCGUCUCAACACUAUCAGGAGAAGCGUGUUUAAAAGGGUAACAUCAAUGUCAGAUCAAGGUGUGGUUAUGGGAGGGGACAAGAUGGGUUACAAUUGAGAGGCCAUUGAAAAGUCUUGCUGAAACACAAGGUUGAAACUGGAUUUGAGAGUAAUCUACCUUUAAAACAGGUGGGUGGAUAAGCUCUUAAACAUGUACAUAUCGCCCGUCGCUAGACCAAGUCUCUGCUACCGUAUGUAUACGCGCUGAGCGGGCUGG